CUUGAUCUGAAGCAUAUUUCUUUCAAGGAGUAAUUUAAAUAGCUGGGUUGGUACUUCUUGCAGCUUUUAAAACCUGUUACAGAUUAAAAGGAGGAAAGAAAAAAGUGUCUGUGCAUUUGUGCCAAGUCAGCAAGACCUUGGAGAAGGCACUGCCACUGCUUUCCCUGAAGCCUCUGUACCAAAGGUAUUCAGUGCCCUUGGCUGUGUUUCAUCAGAACACAAGUAAUGAAACAGAACAAGAUGAGCAGAGGAGUGCUUUUGCUUCUUUUAAGAUUUCCCCCUUCACCCAAGUAGAGACAAACUUCAAGUUCGGAUGGAGAGAAAAUGGCAUUACUGGGAAAGAAGAGCAAGGUUAUGGAAGACAGAGAACUAGAGUGAAAGAGACCAAAGAACUACUUGGGAAACCAUGGGAUGUGCAGUUUCUGUUCCUGUGAGAGUCUCUUCUCCACAGAUGCUCAGAGAAAUGUGGAUUUUCCAGCCUAUUUGUGCUGGAGAGCACAGGGAGAA
Numida meleagris (helmeted guineafowl) is the source of this 507-nucleotide long non-coding RNA. RefSeq lists it as uncharacterized. The transcript is spliced from 3 exons. The record is from RefSeq and is a predicted model, not a curated record. Lineage: Eukaryota; Metazoa; Chordata; Aves; Galliformes; Numididae.